GCCGCGAGGCCGGGGCCCGGAGGGCGAGCGCCUCCUAAGCGCGCUAGGUCGCAGGUUCGACUCCUGCUCGGGGCGCCA
This 78-nucleotide transfer RNA is filed under the name Alloalcanivorax profundimaris. RNAcentral's name for it is "tRNA-Arg". The record is from RNAcentral. Lineage: Bacteria; Pseudomonadati; Pseudomonadota; Gammaproteobacteria; Oceanospirillales; Alcanivoracaceae.